GAUGAACGCUGGCGGCGUGCCUAAUACAUGCAAGUCGAGCGAACGGACGAGAAGCUUGCUUCUCUGAUGUUAGCGGCGGACGGGUGAGUAACACGUGGAUAACCUACUUAUAAGACUGGGAUAACUUCGGGAAACCGGAGCUAAUACCGGAUAAUAUUUUGAACCGCAUGGUUCAAAAGUGAAAGACGGCCUUGCUGUCACUUAUAGAUGGAUCCGUGCUGCAUUAGCUAGUUGGUAAGGUAACGGCUUACCAAGGCAACGAUGCAUAGCCGACCUGAGAGGGUGAUCGGCCACACUGGAACUGAGACACGGUCCAGACUCCUACGGGAGGCAGCAGUAGGGAAUCUUGCGCAAUGGGCGAAAGCCUGACGGAGCAACGCCGCGUGAGUGAUGAAGGUCUUCGGGUCGUAAAGCUCUGUUAUUAGGGAAGAACAGAUGUGGAAGUAACUGUGGACAUCUUGACGGUACCUAAUCAAAAAGCCACGGCUAACUACGUG
This 497-nucleotide ribosomal RNA is filed under the name uncultured bacterium. Its description in RNAcentral is "partial 16S ribosomal RNA". It matches the Rfam family "Bacterial small subunit ribosomal RNA", at positions 28 to 507 of the family's 1533-position model. The record is from RNAcentral.